GAGCUUUCUCUCUUCAUAAAGGAGAAGUUUCUAAUUUCAAACUCAUUUAAGUGGUAACUUUUGUCACAUAUAUCACUAAAAGGAACACAGCAUAAGCCACCAUUUAGAUUUGCAUUGUAAUGGAGUACAGCACUAAUGAGCAAGAAUCAGCUUUUAUCAUGGUAAUUUUUAUACACUUCUUUAAACAUCAAUGAGCUGUAACAUGUUUUUUUAUGUGUUGAAAUAGUUAAGUACUCAAAUGACUUUUUUUUUUCUCAUUUCCUUUUUACUUUUAUUUCUUCCUUUUCUCAGAGGUUAUGUCUUUCAGUGGAGGGAGUGAGGAGUUUAUGGCUUUGUUUGCUUCAUAAAAAAAAUGAGAAUAAAGAAAAUAGAAGAAAGAAAGAUAAUAGAAAAUUGGGUGAUCUUUUAGUUGUAUGUUUUGAAAGAAAAUUGAAAGGAUUUGAAAAUAUCAAAUGACAUAUAUGCUUAUUACACAUGAUAUAAAAUGUUUUUUAAUAUUCCAAUUUGAUAUAUUAAAUAUAUUUUUCUUAGUGAUUAUGUAAACAUAAUUUUUCAUGAAUUAAUAAUAUAAUAUCAUGUAAUAUUAGUUUAAAUAUUUUUGAAUAUUGCUUCAUGCUUAUGACUUUGAGGUUGCAGGGUAAUGCUAUAAUGUGUCCAAUUGCAAAUAAUAUCUCAACUUUCACAAAAUAAUUACCAAGAAGCUGCACAGAAUUGUGUGAAAAAGCUUAAUUAUGUUUGGGCCAUCAUAUCAUAUAUAACCCAAUAUCAAAGUAUAUGAUUUGAUAGUUUUUUUCUCAUGUUUGAUCUUUAUCUUUGGCUGAAGUCACAUCCAAGGUAGGUAUUACCUUCACUUUUUUGAACAAAAACACACACUAUUUGUUCACUGACUUAAGAAAGCUAUUACUCUUUAUCCUUGGCUGAAGUCCCAUCCAUGUUUUCUGGUGCAAAUUUUUUCCAAAGAAAGCUAUUACUCUAUUAGUAUCCAAUAAUGAUUAGAAAAUAAAUAAAAAAACAUGAAAAAGUGGAGAAAAAAAACUCUCAUUUGUCUUUUUAAUAAGUUAUUUUACUCAUAUUACCAAAGGUAUUUCUCACAAUUUUGUAUAAGGAACUAGUCACUUUCAAAAUUUGUAGUUGUCUCCUAAUAAAUAUGUUCAUAUAAAUCAAAUAGUUGACAUUUUGAUCAUCAUAAAUAUUUAAUAGAAUCUUAUACGAAUAGACCAAUAUUUUGUUGGUUAGUCAUUUAACAAAAAAAUAAAAAAAAUAGCUAUUGGGUGGUAAUUUCCUCAAUGAGGCGUGUGAUUCAUGAGUUAGGGCUUUCUCACAUAUUGAAGAGUAUAGUAAUAGAAUACUAGGAAAAACUAAAUUUCUUGAUUUUAAUUUUUUAUUAAGAAAUAAAUUAAAAUCAUGUGUGGAUAGAGUUUGUGAUUUUUAUUUGCAGGUUGAGGAAGGGCACGUGUUGCAUUGUAGCAAGUGUAACAGAAGCUGUGGAACGCAUCCAAUGCACCUUUAAAAAAGGUGCAACAAUGCUAAGCUAGCUAAAGUGGUUAAUUAAUUGGAUUAUGAACGAGCCAGAGUGAGCAAUGCCCAUAGUUUUAAGGAUUUGGUUGUGGUGUAUAGUAAACUUAAAAUUAUUCCCUCACUCUUAUUAUCAUGGUAAAAGAAUUAUGAUAAUAAAUAAAAGC
This 1682-nucleotide long non-coding RNA is filed under the name Lupinus angustifolius (narrow-leaved blue lupine). Its description in RNAcentral is "long non-coding RNA (LANG_LNC000116)". Lineage: Eukaryota; Viridiplantae; Streptophyta; Magnoliopsida; Fabales; Fabaceae. The record is from RNAcentral.